This 1940-nucleotide ribosomal RNA is filed under the name human gut metagenome. RNAcentral describes it as "bacterial LSU rRNA". It matches the Rfam family "Bacterial large subunit ribosomal RNA", at positions 3 to 1977 of the family's 2925-position model. The record is from RNAcentral.
UCAAGUUAUUAAGGGUGCAGGGCGGAUGCCUUGGCACUAGGAGCCGAUGAAGGACGUGAUAAGCUGCGAUAAGCUUCGGGGAGUUGCACGUAAACUUUGAUCCGAAGAUUUCCGAAUGAGGAAACUCACUUAGAGUAAUGUCUAAGUAUCGUAUGAUGAAUACAUAGUCAUGCGAGGGGAACCCGGAGAACUGAAACAUCUAAGUACCCGGAGGAAGAGAAAGAAAUUCGAUUCCGUAAGUAGCGGCGAGCGAACGCGGAACAGGCCAAACCAGUGAAGUUUUCUUCGCUGGGGUUGCGGACAUAUCAUAACGAAGAGGUAUCGUAGAGGAAGAGAGUUGGAAAGCUCCGCCAUAGAAGGUAAUAGCCCUGUAGUUGAAACGAGAAAGCUACUAGUAUGAUCCAGAGUACCACGGGACACGUGAAACCCUGUGGGAAGCAGGAGGGACCAUCCUCCAAGCCUAAAUACUACCUAGUGACCGAUAGCGCAUAGUACCGUGAGGGAAAGGUGAAAAGAACCCCGGGAGGGGAGUGAAAUAGAACCUGAAACCCUGCACUUACAAGCUGUGGGAGCACAUUACUUGUGUGACCGCGUACUUUUUGUAGAACGGGCCAACGAGUUACGUUAAGUAGCAAGGUUAAGCACUUAAGGUGUGGAGCCGUAGCGAAAGCGAGUCUUAAAUGGGCGUCUAGUUACCCGACGUAGACCCGAAACCAGGCGACCUAUCCAUGAGCAGGUUGAAGCGAAAGUAAAAUUUCGUGGAGGACCGAACCCACGAGCGUUGAAAAGCUCGGGGAUGACUUGUGGAUAGCGGUGAAAUUCCAAUCGAACCCGGAGAUAGCUGGUUCUCCCCGAAAUAGCUUUAGGGCUAGCGUUAUGGAGAAGAGUUAUACGAAGGUAGAGCACUGAAUGGGUGAGGGCCUCAUCUCGAGGUACUGAUCUCAAUCAAACUCCGAAUGUCGUAUAAUAUACAUAGCAGUAAGACUAUGGGUGAUAAGGUUCAUAGUCAAAAGGGAAACAGCCCAGACCGCCAGUUAAGGUCCCAAAAUUAUGCUAAGUGGGAAAGGAGGUGGAGUCGCAUAGACAACUAGGAGGUUGGCUUAGAAGCAGCCAUCCUUUAAAGAGUGCGUAAUAGCUCACUAGUCGAGUGAUUCUGCGCCGAAAAUGUAUCGGGGCUAAGCAUAAUACCGAAGCUGCGGGAUUAGACAAAGAGUCUAAUCGGUAGGGGAGCGUACUAAACGCGAAGAAGGUUGACCGGAAGGGCAGCUGGAGAGUUUAGCAGUGAGAAUGCCGGUGUGAGUAGCGAAAGAUAGGUGAGAAUCCUAUCCAUCGAAAGCCUAAGGUUUCCAGGGGAAGGCUCGUCCGCCCUGGGUAAGUCGGGACCUAAGGUGAGGCCGAAAGGCGUAGCCGAUGGAUAUCAGGUUGAUAAUCCUGGACCACCGUAGAGCUGAAGGAGUGACGGAGGAGGGAAGUUAGGAUGGACUGGUGGAAUAGUCUAAUGAAGCACAAAGAGGGAUACGUAGGAAAAGCCGCGUAUUGAAACCUUGAAGUGUAAACCGCAAGGCCUAAUGGACCACACUUCCAAGAAAAGCUUCUAGGAGUACUUUAUGGUGCCCGUACCGUAAACGGACACACGUAGGCGAGGAGAGAAUCCAAAGACGCGCGAGAUAAUUCUUGUUAAGGAACUCUGCAAAAUGACCCUGUAACUUCGGGAUAAAGGGGACUCUAGAGAUAGAGGCGCAGAAAAUAGGCCCAAGCGACUGUUUAACAAAAACAUAGGUUUCUGCUAAAGCGAAAGCUGAUGUAUAGGAGCUGACGCCUGCCCAGUGCUGGAAGGUUAAGAGGAGAUGUAAGUCGCAAGGCAAAGCAUUGAAUUGAAGCCCCAGUAAACGGCGGCCGUAACUAUAACGGUCCUAAGGUAGCGAAAUUCCUUGUCAGGU